Molecule: ribosomal RNA, 253 nt
Filed under: uncultured bacterium
Lineage: Bacteria
Description: partial 16S ribosomal RNA
Rfam family: Bacterial small subunit ribosomal RNA
Source: RNAcentral
UACGAAUGGGGCAAGCGUUGUUCGGAAUCACUGGGCUUAAAGCGUGCGCAGGCGGUCAUGAAAGUCAGAAGUGAAAUCCCAGGGCUUAACCCUGGAAUUGCUUUUGAAACUCCAUGACUAGAAUCCCGGAGAGGUUAGCAGAAUUCCGAGUGUAGAGGUGAAAUUCGCAGAUAUUCGGAGGAAUACCAAUGGCGAAGGCAAUCCCCUGGGCCUGCACUGACGCUCAUGCACGAAAGCGUGGGGAGCAAACAGG